UGGGGAAUAUUGGACAAUGGGCGCAAGCCUGAUCCAGCCAUGCCGCGUGAGUGAUGAAGGCCUUAGGGUUGUAAAGCUCUUUUGUCCGGGAAGAUAAUGACUGUACCGGAAGAAUAAGCCCCGGCUAACUUCGUGCCAGCAGCCGCGGUAAUACGAAGGGGGCUAGCGUUGCUCGGAAUCACUGGGCGUAAAGGGCGCGUAGGCGGACUUUUAAGUCGGAGGUGAAAGCCCAGGGCUCAACCCUGGAAUUGCCUUCGAUACUGGGAGUCUUGAGUUCGGAAGAGGUUGGUGGAACUGCGAGUGUAGAGGUGAAAUUCGUAGAUAUUCGCAAGAACACCGGUGGCGAAGGCGGCCAACUGGUCCGAAACUGACGCUGAGGCGAAAAAGCGUGGGGAGCAAACAGG
This 404-nucleotide ribosomal RNA is filed under the name bacterium. Its description in RNAcentral is "partial 16S ribosomal RNA". It matches the Rfam family "Bacterial small subunit ribosomal RNA", at positions 355 to 776 of the family's 1533-position model. The record is from RNAcentral.